This 2068-nucleotide long non-coding RNA is filed under the name Homo sapiens (human). Its description in RNAcentral is "long non-coding RNA NONHSAT159171.1". The record is from RNAcentral. Lineage: Eukaryota; Metazoa; Chordata; Mammalia; Primates; Hominidae.
GUCUCCUCUCUGACCAUCUGGAGGGCCACCCAUUCCUGAGGAACUGUUCCCCGAACAAGCAAGUAUGCAAGGGCAGAGGAUGAAUCAGACCCAGCAGGUCCCACUGAGGGCCCCCGUUGAAGAUCAGAGGGGUCUGGCAGGGCCUGUGGGACAUCCCGCCAUGCCUCGCUUCCUCCCCACACUGCUGCAGACAGGCUCUGCCCAGGACCUUUGUGAUGGGCAGGUCAACCUGACCAGAGGUGUGGAAACUUCUGGAUGCCUGCUCUUGUGAGUUCACCUCUAUGUCUACUCUACUGAGGCCUCUCCAUACAGGUAGAGUGACUUGUGGGAGGCCUGUUACAUCCUCAGGCCACACCUGGUAAGGGAAGCGCAGGUGGGUCCCACCUGCCCUGGUGCCCCCCUCAGGAUACCUGGGGGUAUAUACUUUUUCUCAUGCCACCCCCAGGCUCUGCCCAGAUGGGGCUGACGACUGGUUUUUGGGCUGGCAUCCGUGUUUCCGGGCGCUGCUUGCCCGUUCUCUCCCACCUGCCGGUUGAACCUUAAUCUCCUUUUGGAGGAAGAAGAGGGGGAAAAAACAGAAGUUGGUCACUCUCAGUAGCCUCUGCCCCAGGGGGACCAGGCCAGACAAGUCCUUGGUAGUCUUGGUUGGGACCUGGAUCUGUAUUCUUGGAGCAGAUGAUCUGAUUUGCAUUUGGCCACAGAUCCAAGAAGGUAUUAACAUAAAGAGCGACUGCCAGCCAUGACCCCAGCAUUCCUCCCAGGAGGAAGGAGUCAUCAAGUCCACUUUGUAGCUUGAUGGCCUAACAGAACCCACUGGGGUGGUCAGAGUUCCAUCCACAACAUUCUGGAAUGUGGCCUUGGGAACCAGUCAGCUUCUCCCCCUCCUCACACUCCUGUGGCCUCUGUUGCUCCAGCUCUGGUGUCUCUGAGGGGGACCUGGGAGGACUCUCAGCUUUCAACAGAUCAGGCAGGUCUCAGUUUCCUGCCUUCCUGGGAAGUGGGGAAAGGCUGAGAGGCCCCGUGCUGGGGGUGAAGCUAAUUCAUUAGUUACGCCUCAACAAGGACCGGGUGCCUGCAGUGCCAGCGUGAUUCAUCAUGAUGAUUGCCCCACUGCCAGCCUGCGUGGGCCUGGAACGCCAGCACAUUUUACCUUUACCCACUGAGAAGGGCCUGGUGGGAGGUGAAGGUACAGGAUCUGCCGAGAGCAAGAAAAAGACUCUGAGAAAGAAGAGGGCUGGUCCUCCAUGCUCUCGGCCCCAGGAAGCUCUGCCAGGCUGGUGCCGGGGUGGAGAGGCUCAUGUGGGCUCAUGUGGUGCUGCCUGUGCUGAUGGAGCCCAAGAGGGCAGCCUGGCGCUGGGUGCCAGCCUGAGCAUGUGGCGAGGCUGGGCUGCUGAGCCUCCUCCUCCACAGCCAAUGUUCCCUCAAACUGCUUGGGGGUGGGGGGAGGGACUCAUCCUCAUCCCAUUAGCCUGGCUGGGUAUUCCCUACCUUUCUGGUCUCUGAGAGACUUACCUCUUCCAAGAAGUCCUCCCGAAUGAGUAGAAGGGAGAGAGCUGGAUUGGAACUUAAGUGACAUCUGGGAGGAGCCUGAAGCCCCUCCGGUUGGGGCUGAGACUCCUAUACCCUAGGUCUGGUGUCUGGGUUCCACCUGGGUCCUCUACCUUGGCCUGGAUUCCUGCUUUCGUUUUGCCAGUCUCUCCCAGGAUGGGGGUGCAUGGCUGGUUCGUGGCUCAGAGCAACAUCUGCCUCUGUGUCCCCCCAUCAUCUGUCCGCCCCCUAACACCUCUUGCCAUAUUAGAAUUGCUAUUGCUCUGUCCUUUCAUUCAUGUAUCCAACAAAUAUAUAUUAUCUGAAAAAAAGCAUGUGCUGAAUAAUUUCAUUUGUGUGAAAUUCAAGAACAGGGAAAACUGAUCCAUAAGGAUAGAGGUCAGGAUCAUAGUUGCCUCUGUGAGGUGGGGAUUGACCGCAAGAGGCUUGAGAGAACUCUUGGGUUGAUGGAAAUGGGACAGGGGUGUGUACAUUUGUCAAAACGCAUCCAAGAAGACACUUACGAUCUAUGCAUUUCACU